AUGCACGCUGGCGGCGUGCCUAAUACAUGCAAGUCGAGCGAACGGACGAGAAGCUUGCUUCUCUGAUGUUAGCGGCGGACGGGUGAGUAACACGUGGAUAACCUACCUAUAAGACUGGGAUAACUUCGGGAAACCGGAGCUAAUACCGGAUAAUAUUUUGAACCGCAUGGUUCAAAAGUGAAAGACGGUCUUGCUGUCACUUAUAGAUGGACCCGCGCUGCAUUAGCUAGUUGGUAAGGUAACGGCUUACCAAGGCAACGAUGCAUAGCCGACCUGAGAGGGUGAUCGGCCACACUGGAACUGAGACGCGGUCAAGGGUACUACGGGAGGCAGCAGUAGGGAAUCUUACGCAAUGGGCGAAAGCCUGACGGAGCAACGCCGCGUGAGUGAUGAAGGUCUUCGGAUCGUAAAACUCUGUUAUAAGGGAAGAACAUAUGUGUAAGUAACUGUGCACAGCUUGACGGUACCUAAUCAGAAAGCCACGGCUAACUACGUG
This 496-nucleotide ribosomal RNA is filed under the name uncultured bacterium. RNAcentral's name for it is "partial 16S ribosomal RNA". It matches the Rfam family "Bacterial small subunit ribosomal RNA", at positions 29 to 507 of the family's 1533-position model. The record is from RNAcentral.